This 429-nucleotide ribosomal RNA is filed under the name Gemmatimonadota bacterium. RNAcentral's name for it is "Gemmatimonadetes bacterium partial 16S ribosomal RNA". It matches the Rfam family "Bacterial small subunit ribosomal RNA", at positions 355 to 776 of the family's 1533-position model. Lineage: Bacteria; Pseudomonadati; Gemmatimonadota. The record is from RNAcentral.
UAGGGAAUCUUCGGCAAUGGACGAAAGUCUGACCGAGCAACGCCGCGUGAGUGAAGAAGGUUUUCGGAUCGUAAAACUCUGUUGUUAGAGAAGAACAAGGACGUUAGUAACUGAACGUCCCCUGACGGUAUCUAACCAGAAAGCCACGGCUAACUACGUGCCAGCAGCCGCGGUAAUACGUAGGUGGCAAGCGUUGUCCGGAUUUACUGGGCGUAAAGCGAGCGCAGGCGGUUUCUUAAGUCUGAUGUGAAAGCCCCCGGGUCAACCGGGGAGGGUAAUUGGAAACUGGGAGACUUGAGUGCAGAAGAGGGGAGUGGAAUUCCAUGUGUAGCGGUGAAGUGCGUAGAUAUAUGGAGGAACACCAGUGGCGAAGGAGGCACUCUGGUCUGUAACUGACGCUGAGGCUCGAAAGCGUGGGGAGCAAACAGA